GUGUACGUGCUUUAAAAUGACGAGUUUGCAAUGCAUCAAUUGCAACGUUCGCUUGUCGCGAAUACGAAGGCACGCUUUAUCCGAUGAGAGUGAAGAUAUCGUCAAUACUAUUCGGCUGUGGACAUAUCCUAGAGAUAUGUCAUCCAUGAAUGAAGUCUGUGGAGUUUGCUGGGGCCAAGCUCGAGAUUUGAGCUUCAAUGUUCCAGAAGGACCAGAAGAAAGACCCCAACAUAUUGUGUUGCCCAAUAUAAGAAGAGCGGCUGAAACAGCAAGACAUUGCAUUUUCCAAGGGUGCAUGGAACUGCCAAAUAAUACUAAGAAUAGAUUAAAUAAUUAUAAGAACAAUAAAAUAGACGUAUAUUCCUACAAAAACAAA
This is a long non-coding RNA of Helicoverpa zea (corn earworm), 376 nucleotides long. RefSeq lists it as uncharacterized. The transcript is spliced from 2 exons. NCBI's taxonomy places the organism in Eukaryota, Metazoa, Arthropoda, Insecta, Lepidoptera, Noctuidae. The record is from RefSeq and is a predicted model, not a curated record.